Molecule: long non-coding RNA, 535 nt
Organism: Paramisgurnus dabryanus
Lineage: Eukaryota; Metazoa; Chordata; Actinopteri; Cypriniformes; Cobitidae
Source: RefSeq, a predicted model, not a curated record
AGAUCUUAUCAAGACUGCAAUACAUAAGAAUAAAUAGGAAUCGGCAACAAUUAACGAUCUACGCCAGCGCAAGUCAAUAUUUAUCUGGUCAUUUUCAACUGGUUUUUAAUGUUAAAAGUCCCUCGGAGUCAACAGCUGUUUCCGGUGAGUUCAACUGCAGGAUCAAUAGCAUUCAGCGGUGAGUUUAACAACGCUCAAAUGUGGGUAAAAUAACAUUCAGAGAGGAGUUUUAUUAAAACAGCGUUCAACUGCAUGUAAGACAACAUUCAGAGUCCUGUAAUAACUGUGACGUCAUCGAAUGAGACGAAGGUCCAUGCUAUUUCAACUCGGAAGUUGAGAUGAAGAACUCCAAGAACAUCUCUUGAUCUUGGAUAAGUUGGUUGAUGGUCAAGAACUAAAGGAUGAGCUCCAAAGUCUUGAUGACUUUCUUGGUGAACUGCAAGAAAGGCAGCAGCACCAAUGAAGACACCUGAGCCGAGGGUGCAUUGGAGAAAAAGAGACAUUGAUGGAAAUAUUUUCUAUGCAAGGCCAAGGU